This 341-nucleotide ribosomal RNA is filed under the name Cardinium endosymbiont of Bemisia tuberculata. RNAcentral describes it as "bacterial SSU rRNA". It matches the Rfam family "Bacterial small subunit ribosomal RNA", at positions 1033 to 1374 of the family's 1533-position model. RNAcentral also lists the same sequence under 1 other name. Lineage: Bacteria; Pseudomonadati; Bacteroidota; Cytophagia; Cytophagales; Amoebophilaceae. The record is from RNAcentral.
ACAAGGUGCUGCAUGGCUGUCGUCAGCUCGUGCCGUGAGGUGUUGGGUUAAGUCCUAUAACGAGCGAAACCCUUUUACUUAAUUGCCAGCAUGUAAUGGUGGGGACUUUAAGUAGACUGCCCGUGUAAGCGGGAGGAAGGAGAGGAUGAGGUCAAGUCAUCAUGGCCUUUAUGCCCAGGGCUACACACGUACUACAAUGGCAUGUACAAAGGGAAGCUACUUGGUAACAAGAUGCAAAUCUCAAAAGCAUGUCUCAGUUCGGAUUGGGGUCUGCAAUUCGACCUCAUGAAGUUGGAAUCGCUAGUAAUCGCGUAUCAGCAAUGACGCGGUGAAUACGUUCU